Chenopodium quinoa (quinoa) is the source of this 1807-nucleotide long non-coding RNA. RefSeq lists it as uncharacterized. The transcript is spliced from 5 exons. The record is from RefSeq and is a predicted model, not a curated record. Lineage: Eukaryota; Viridiplantae; Streptophyta; Magnoliopsida; Caryophyllales; Amaranthaceae.
UUUAGAACACAUUACUUCGUGUUUGCCGCCCCAUUUCAGAAAACCUAACCGUUAAGAGAGAGGAGAGAGAAGAUAAAGGUUGACUGCUAAUGGUGAUUUCUCCGUCAAAUCAGCAUAUUGGCUGGGGGUUUUAGGAGGUAGUUCCACUUAUACUGCAAUAAAUGAUGUUUUGUGGAAGCGCAUAUAUGGCGGAUAGAUGGACCCCCAAAAUUCCAACACUUCUUAUGGAGAAUUUGUUCGAUGGCUGUUGCUGUGAAUGCUGAGCUAUUCAGACGCCAUCUUCGUACUAAUGACCUAUGCAAGAGGUGUGGACUGAUGGCUGAAACAAUAAAGCACACCAUUUUUGAAUGCCCCUAGGCCAAGCUCAUUUGGGAAAAAAACUCUUUCUGGGAGUUGCUGCAGUAGCAAACACCGGAUGACAUCAAGGAUAGAUGCCUUUAUGUUUUGGGCUGAUAAAUUACAAAGGCAUGAACUCUGCACCUUCACCUCCUUGAUGUGGGCAGCCUGGACUCACAAAAACCAGGUUCUUUAUCAAUAGAGCACUACCGAUCCUAUCUUUCUUGCAGGGAAGUUUGUGAAGUAUGUGGAAGAUUAUAAGGUGUACGCAGGCUAAGUGUAUGGAACAAGACCCAAAUCCUGUGAUAUUACUGCUGGAAAGUGGGAAAUACCAAGGGUAGGAGUAGUGAAAUUAAAUGUGGAUGCAGCCAUCUUCCACAACAAUUUGAUGGGCAUGGGUGCUGUUGCUAGAGAUAGCAAUGGGCAGAUCAGGUUUUCUGCUGUGAAGGAAGUUCAGGGAGCCUGGAACCCCACGGUAAUUGAAUCUGUUGCUAUGGAGAAUGGUCUGGUCGUGGCAAGAAGAUUCAGGUAUAAUCGGGUUUGGGUGGAGAGUGAUGCUUUGGGAGUGGUCCAAAAAGUGAAAAACCGGCACAGUGGUUACAAGUAUCUAUUUAAAUUCAUUGAUCGAAUUGUUAAUCUCGGGAAUGAUUUUGAUUACUUUCAUUGUAGUCAUAUUAAAAGGGGGGGCAAUACUUUAGCUCACCUAGUAGUUAGAUCUUGUCUGGAGGAGUUAGUUGAACCUGCUCGUUUUGACCCUUUUCCGGCUAGCUUUCAAACUCUGGCGGAAAUGGAUUUGAUUUAAUAAUAUUGCCACCCGUUUGUUUAAAGAGAGAGGAAAGAGAAGACGAAGCACAACCCACUCGUCUUUGGCUUUUUCGUCUCAAGGCUCACUUCGCAGCGUCGUCGAGUGCUCCACUCUUCGUCUCAGUCCGAUCAAUGCCCGUGCACAAAGACGACGAAGUCCAGGUUGUUCGUGGUACCUCAUGGUCCGAAAUGCUUCUUGGGAGCUCGGAAUUAAGAUCUGAUAUCUUGCAUUGUUGGUUAUUGAUGAGUUAUUUAUGCGUUCGAAGCUAUUUAAGACCCUAAUUACUGAGCCAACUCGUGGGUCAGUGAGCCGAAUCGAUUGGUUGAGUCAGGUUUCCGACGUCUUGGGUUGUCAAUGGGGUGAUGAGGGUAAAAGGAAGCUUGUUGAUAUUUUUGCGCAGCAUUUUGAUGUAGAUUUUGAUGCCGUAAGGUAAAUCCACAUAUGCACCUGCUGAAGCUUUGUGACUUUGGAAGCACAAAAGUUUUGAUAAAAGGUGAGCCUAUUGUAUCUUAUAUCUGCUCUAGUUACUAUAGAGAACCAGAGCUAAUAUCCGGAGCAACUGAAUAAACUACAACUAUUAACGUCUAGCCUGCUGGCUGUGUGUUUGCAGAACUGCUUCUUUGACAGGGAAUUUUUCAAACUCAUCUUAGAGCCCUAUUGUGGUUC